UGCCAGAUUGGUUCCUAUAAGCUGAUA
Molecule: small RNA, 27 nt
Filed under: Bombyx mori (domestic silkworm)
Lineage: Eukaryota; Metazoa; Arthropoda; Insecta; Lepidoptera; Bombycidae
Description: ovarian small RNA-33676
Source: RNAcentral